This 257-nucleotide long non-coding RNA is filed under the name Brachypodium distachyon (stiff brome). RNAcentral describes it as "long non-coding RNA (BDIS_LNC005642)". Lineage: Eukaryota; Viridiplantae; Streptophyta; Magnoliopsida; Poales; Poaceae. The record is from RNAcentral.
GAAAGCCUAAGUGCCCUAAAAGCCAUUUUAUAGGCAAAUUUAUUUUUAAAUAUUCUAUUUUGUUGCAAUUUAUUUGGAGUGAUUUGGAGCUUCGAAUCAAUUUUGAGGUUCAAAAACAGAAAAUAGAAAAAAAGAAAGGAAAAACCGGCCGAACCGGACCGAACCGCCGGUUCCUCUCACUAACCGGUGGGACCCGCUCGUCAUCUUCUCCAACUGCCGCCCAGAGUCCCCGCUGCGCACGACUCUGACUUCGCCCA